AAUUAGGGUUUUUGUUUGGUUGGACUUCUAGAACCGUUGGAGAGAGAACGUGUUUUAUUUAUGAGAAAAGUGAAUUUCAAUUUUUAUCUUUCAAAUGUUUUUCUUUUUGUUUUUUAACAAUAGAAUUUCUUUUAAUUUAAAUAUUCAAUAUUGUUUUAAUAAAAUAUUUUAUUUAAUAAGUAAAUAAUAAAACAUUGUCCAGUGGAUUUAUAAAAUGAGAUGGGUGGAUUGAAUCCAUCCAUAUGGUUUGAUGGAUGGAUUGGAUCAAAUCCA
This 273-nucleotide long non-coding RNA is filed under the name Lathyrus oleraceus (garden pea). RNAcentral's name for it is "Pisum sativum (pea) long non-coding RNA (PSAT_LNC041621)". The record is from RNAcentral. Lineage: Eukaryota; Viridiplantae; Streptophyta; Magnoliopsida; Fabales; Fabaceae.